CUUCUGCGGCGCGCACACGUGAUGAGGAGACGCGCGGCUGCUGCGGAUGACGUCAUACGCAUCUCUGUGCGUUACGUCCUCUCCGCACUGAGCGAGUUCCUAUUUAAACCCCUGCACACGAGACCCGAUCGCUGCAGUCUCUCGGGAGACUCGUGGAGGAGAUUUGCCAUCGCAUUCAUCGAACCAGGUAUGCCCUUCCCCACUACUCCCUGCUUUUAUCUCUAUUCCGUUCCCUGUAACUAAUAGGUUACAUGUGGUUCUUUUUUCCUUGUUAUACCAGGCUUAUCAUUGCCUUAAUUACUGGCUAUCAGCCGGCACCCAGCUCUGGUUACUCACUUCUGCUACCAGGAAGUGCAGCAUUUAUUGAGGACUGUUGAGAGAUAGUGGUCACCCUCUCCCCCUUUUUCUUUCUCCUCAAGCUCUGCCCUCCUUCACUGAAGACUGUUACUUUCUAUUUUACUUGGGCCGUUCCCCUAUACCCCUUACAACGUCCAGCAGCCCGGACACAGUCUAUUUUGUGUUUUUCAUUUUUGCCAGAAAAUUUAUGUAUCGAUCCCCCUACCAAUCAAUACUAUCUUUAAAACUACACUGCUGACUCCGUGAGGAAGCGCUGUUAAAGCGCGAAACCGGUCGAGUCCACCAACGCAGCAAGCCAAACCACCGCAGACAUAUCUUUGCCUGCAUUUCCACAACGCGACAGGACUACUAAUCACAUUUAUGCACUUUAUUCCAAAUCUCUUUGGAAGUGUUUUAACUUCAUUGUUGAUACAUUGUUAUACUUUAUGUACAUAUUCCUGUCAGUGUUUAUGGAUAGGCUUGCCUAGUUAGCCUUUUAGAUAGUUUUUUUGUGCUGGAAACGGCAAUACUUUUUCUUCUUUAUUUUGUUCUACUUACUACGAUAUUUUAUAUCUAAAUAAACAAAUCUAUUUUUUAGAGAAAAUCUUUUCUUGCGUACAUAUAUUCUGACCAACCAAAUCGUGCCUAAAAAGUCCAAAAACUAGCCCUUAGUUCUCCUCUUUAUCAUUUAUACCAGGACGUGGCACCCUCUUUUUACCUUAUAAUAUCCACAUGCACACUACAUGUGAGGAUAUUGUCAUCUCUUCUUUUUCAAAUAAUUAUUUGGGUGGUAGCACCCGGGCAAAACUUCAGCCCACCUCUCUUGUACUAAGGGGGCUGUUAGUGUUUGUAUCCUUUUCGAAUAUUUAAUCUUUUUUAUUUAUAUUGUUGUUUUCCUUGUAUUUUCUCUAAAUCCUA
Molecule: long non-coding RNA, 1254 nt
Organism: Rana temporaria (common frog)
Lineage: Eukaryota; Metazoa; Chordata; Amphibia; Anura; Ranidae
Exons: 3
Source: RefSeq, a predicted model, not a curated record